RNAcentral lists this long non-coding RNA (512 nucleotides) under Homo sapiens (human). RNAcentral describes it as "non-protein coding lnc-CSMD3-6:1". The record is from RNAcentral. Lineage: Eukaryota; Metazoa; Chordata; Mammalia; Primates; Hominidae.
AAGUUGAAGUGUUUCCUGAGGCUGGUGUUAUCACUGAGGAACUUUCUCAAUGCAUUGCACUAACUGGAGGUGCUGCAGAGGUUGCUGAUUAUGGUCAUGAUGGAACAAAGACAGAGACCUUCAGAGGGUUUUGUGGCCACAAGUUUCAUGAUGUCUUAAUUGCCCCCAGGAACAGCGGAUCUAAAAGCUGAUGUGGAUUUCAGUUAUUUGCAAAGAAUGGCACAGGGAAAAGUAGCUCUCUGGGCCCAAUAAAACAACCCACAUUUUUUUAAAAUAUGGGUAUCGAUGUCCAGCUGAAGAUUCUUUUAGAUAAAUCAAAUGAGACAUCAAUGAGUCAGCAAUUACUUCAAGGAUAUGAUAUGUUAAUGAAUCCGAAGAAGAUGGGAGAAAGAUUGAACAUUUUUGCCUUGCUACUUCAUCAGAGACUUCAAGGUGGAAGGAAUCAGAUGAAUCUGUGUCAGUCAAAACCCUAUGCAUCUCCUGUAGCUGGAUUUAGUGAAUUUGUUUGGCAG